This 492-nucleotide ribosomal RNA is filed under the name uncultured bacterium. RNAcentral's name for it is "partial 16S ribosomal RNA". It matches the Rfam family "Bacterial small subunit ribosomal RNA", at positions 29 to 507 of the family's 1533-position model. The record is from RNAcentral.
AUUGAACGCUGGCGGCAUGCUUUACACAUGCAAGUCGAGCGGUAACAGGCCUUCGGGUGCUGACGAGUGGCGAACGGGUGAGUAAUGCAUCGGAACGUACCCAGACGUGGGGGAUAACGCAGCGAAAGCUGUGCUAAUACCGCAUGUGAUCUGAGGAUGAAAGCGGGGGACCGAGCAGCAAUGUUUGGCCUCGCGCCUUUGGAGCGGCCGAUGUCGGAGUAGCUAGUUGGUGGGGUAAAGGCCUACCAAGGCGACGAUCCGUAGCUGGUCUGAGAGGACGACCAGCCACACUGGGACUGAGACACGGCCCAGACUCCUACGGGAGGCAGCAGUGGGGAAUUUUGGACAAUGGGCGCAAGCCUGAUCCAGCAAUGCCGCGUGCGGGAAGAAGGCCUUCGGGUUGUAAACCGCUUUUGGCAGGAACGAAACGGUGUCCGCUAAUACCGGGCGCUAAUGACGGUACCUGCAGAAUAAGCACCGGCUAACUACGUG